CCCCCUGUGGCUCAUUUGGUAGAGCAUGGUGUUUGCAACGCCAGCAUGGUGUGUGCAAUGCCAGGGUUGUGGGUUCGAUUCCCACAAGGGGCC
Molecule: transfer RNA, 93 nt
Filed under: Salmo salar (Atlantic salmon)
Lineage: Eukaryota; Metazoa; Chordata; Actinopteri; Salmoniformes; Salmonidae
Rfam family: tRNA
About the family: Transfer RNA (tRNA) molecules are approximately 80 nucleotides in length.
Source: Rfam by way of RNAcentral